RNAcentral lists this ribosomal RNA (464 nucleotides) under uncultured bacterium. Its description in RNAcentral is "bacterial SSU rRNA". It matches the Rfam family "Bacterial small subunit ribosomal RNA", at positions 917 to 1382 of the family's 1533-position model. The record is from RNAcentral.
GGGCCCGCACAAGCGGCGGAGCAUGCGGAUUAAUUCGAUGCAACGCGAAGAACCUUACCUGGGUUUGACAUCACUUGAAAACUCGCGGAGACGCGGGGUCCUUCGGGGCGGGUGACAGGUGGUGCAUGGCUGUCGUCAGCUCGUGUCGUGAGAUGUUGGGUUAAGUCCCGCAACGAGCGCAACCCUCGUUCCAUGUUGCCAGCGGGUUAUGCCGGGGACUCAUGGGAGACUGCCGGGGUCAACUCGGAGGAAGGUGGGGAUGACGUCAAGUCAUCAUGCCCCUUAUGUCCAGGGCUUCACGCAUGCUACAAUGGCCGGUACAAUGGGCUGCGAUGCCGUGAGGUGGAGCGAAUCCCAAAAAGCCGGUCUCAGUUCGGAUCGGGGUCUGCAACUCGACCCCGUGAAGUCGGAGUCGCUAGUAAUCGCAGAUCAGCAUUGCUGCGGUGAAUACGUUCCCGGGCCUU